Molecule: small RNA, 27 nt
Filed under: Bombyx mori (domestic silkworm)
Lineage: Eukaryota; Metazoa; Arthropoda; Insecta; Lepidoptera; Bombycidae
Description: ovarian small RNA-17905
Source: RNAcentral
GUGGAGCUGCUGCCGGCCGCCAAAGAA